AGCUAAUACAUGCAAGUCGAGCGAAUCAAUAGGAGCUUGCUCCUUGAGAUUAGCGGCGGACGGGUGAGUAACACGUGGGCAACCUGCCCUGCAGAUGGGGAUAACUCCGGGAAACCGGGGCUAAUACCGAAUAAUCAGUUCCUUCGCAUGAAGGAACUCUGAAAGACGGUUUCGGCUGUCACUGCAGGAUGGGCCCGCGGCGCAUUAGCUAGUUGGUGGGGUAAUGGCCUACCAAGGCAACGAUGCGUAGCCGACCUGAGAGGGUGAUCGGCCACACUGGGACUGAGACACGGCCCAGACUCCUACGGGAGGCAGCAGUAGGGAAUCUUCCACAAUGGACGAAAGUCUGAUGGAGCAAUGCCGCGUGAGUGAAGAAGGUUUUCGGAUCGUAAAGCUCUGUUGCGAGGGAAGAACACKUACGGGAGUAACUGCCCGUACCUUGACGGUACCUCGUCAGAAAGCCACGGCUAACUACGUGCCAGCAGCCGCGGUAAUACGUAGGUGGCAAGCGUUGUCCGGAAUU
Molecule: ribosomal RNA, 523 nt
Filed under: Sporosarcina sp. PA3
Lineage: Bacteria; Bacillati; Bacillota; Bacilli; Caryophanales; Caryophanaceae
Description: bacterial SSU rRNA
Rfam family: Bacterial small subunit ribosomal RNA
Source: RNAcentral